This 222-nucleotide small RNA is filed under the name Dipodomys ordii (Ord's kangaroo rat). RNAcentral describes it as "7SK RNA (ENSDORG00000022755.2)". It matches the Rfam family "7SK RNA", at positions 1 to 250 of the family's 331-position model. From Rfam's summary of the family: 7SK was discovered as an abundant small nuclear RNA in the mid-70s but a possible function has only recently been suggested. Two independent studies have found that 7SK RNA binds the CDK9/cyclin T complex (known as elongation factor P-TEFb). Lineage: Eukaryota; Metazoa; Chordata; Mammalia; Rodentia; Heteromyidae. The record is from RNAcentral.
GGAUGUAGUGAGGAUCUGGAUGUGACCUUGACUGCCAGGGGCUGAUGCGGCCCAUCUGGCUGCUUUGGCUGCUCACUGCUCCCUGGGUGUGUCUGCCCCAGAGAUGACCAUCCCUGACAGAGCAGAGCAGUUCUUAUGUCAAGGAUAUAUGAGUAGCUGCUGUCUUCUGCUUGAAGCUCCAAAGACACUCUCAAAACAUGGCUUAUAUUCUUGCAUUUCUUU